RNAcentral lists this non-coding RNA (28 nucleotides) under Cricetulus griseus (Chinese hamster). The record is from RNAcentral. Lineage: Eukaryota; Metazoa; Chordata; Mammalia; Rodentia; Cricetidae.
ACAUACAACUGUUGGGCAACGAAAGGUC